CCGGGGAGCAACAUCGACGGGCCGCUAGAUGGCAUAAUUAUGUGGAUGCCAGUUGAGUUGGGAGCUGAGGAGGCUAUUGAUAUGGUGAACGACAGCAGCACGAGAAGAAGGGAAUGAUGGUAAAGAUUAAGGAUAAGCUGCUUGGUGGUCGCUAGAUGACAUAAUUAAGUCUUUUUGUGUGUGUCCCAAAAUCAUGUUUUAUGCUAUGCUUAAUCUGGAUGGAUGCGUUAUUUUUGCUGAAUAUGAGAGACCAAGACCUCCUCCAUCUUUGAAUAAAGCACCUACAUACAACCAAAGCUGAUUGGAAGAAAGGUCCAAUGGUUGAAAUAUGCCAUUGUUUUGAUCAAAUAAAGCAUUUAAAUAACAAUGAUGUGUGGUGCUUUUAAAUAUCAAAUAGAGCUAAUUGGAAGAUGGUCUAGUGUUGCUGUUGGUUGGAUUUUUAAUUUCUUAUUGUGAGUGGUGUAUUUCAGUUGCUGGUUUUUUUUGCCAAGAAACUCAAAAUCUCAUUCAUGAU
RNAcentral lists this long non-coding RNA (514 nucleotides) under Olea europaea subsp. europaea. The record is from RNAcentral. Lineage: Eukaryota; Viridiplantae; Streptophyta; Magnoliopsida; Lamiales; Oleaceae.